This 376-nucleotide unclassified non-coding RNA is filed under the name fungal sp. RNAcentral's name for it is "partial internal transcribed spacer region". The stretch from base 1 to 46 matches the Rfam family "Eukaryotic small subunit ribosomal RNA", at positions 1786 to 1831 of the family's 1831-position model. The record is from RNAcentral. Lineage: Eukaryota; Fungi.
AAGUCGUAACAAGGUUUCCGUAGGUGAACCUGCGGAAGGAUCAUUAACACGUAUCCAACGUUAAACCCCCCGUGAACCUUCAGUGCGCUCGCACUUUCUUAGAAAAGGUAGCAAUCCCUGGUAAAUCAUUGCCGAACAGUUUUGAUUCAGGGACUUCUGCGUAGACUGUGCUUGAGCGUGAGGCAAGUGGCCUGCAUUCCUCUGUGUCACCAGCUCUGUACGAAUGGCGCAGUCACGAUCGCUAGAGGCCGACACGGCCGGCGACCGGGUCACUGGGCGCGAGCCCCCCUCGUCACCUUUGCAUGAAAACGGGCCUGCGCUUAAUUGUGCGGCCACCAAACUCGAACAACUGUUAACAAUGGAUAUCUUGGUUCUC